CCCUUAGAUGUUCUGGGCCGCACUCGCGCUACACUGAUGCAUUCAACGAGUUUCUUCCUGGUCCGAGAGGAAUGGGUAACCUUUUGAAAGUGCAUCGUGAUAGGGAUAGACUAUUGCAAUUAUUGGUCUUCAACGAGGAAUUCCUAGUAGACGUAGUUCAUCAGACUGCAUCGAUUACGUCCCUGCCCUUUGUACACACCGCCCGUCGCUCCUACCGAUUGAAUGCUCAGGUGAGCCAUUCGGACCUUCAUCAUGCCGGUUUCCGGUUUUGAUGAGGGAAAGUCUUGCGAACCUUAUCAUUUAGAGGAAGGAGAAGUCGUAACA
Molecule: ribosomal RNA, 324 nt
Filed under: uncultured eukaryote
Lineage: Eukaryota
Description: partial 18S ribosomal RNA
Rfam family: Eukaryotic small subunit ribosomal RNA
Source: RNAcentral